GGAUAAUUUUGAUCUCCCCAAAGGCAGAAGGGAAAGACAAGUAAAGACGGAGUAACCUACAUUUUCCCGCGUUUUUGUUCCCAUAAUUCCCCAAUCAAAACAUGUCUGCCACAUGGGCCAAAGCGAGACCUUGCACAAGGGAGUUACAACAAGAGUGGCACCAUGAGGGCUGCUGGAGUGAUACUGUGGCCCUAGCCUAGGAUGACCCAUGAUCUUUGGCUAUGGUGUGAGGAUUGUCAGAAAGGACAUGAAGGAGAUUGCGAGGAACACGGUCCAUUGACGAAAGUGGCAGACACAGAGGUAUCCACGAGAGCACGUCGGUCUAUACCACACAUCCUGAAGCUGAAGGAAGACAUCGCCCACACGGAUCACCUCAUCUUGAUGACUGUUCACUCAAAAAUUCAAAAAUAAAUAAAUAAGAAAGAACUGAUUUAACCGAAGAAAAAAAUUGUUUGGCAGGAGUUUAUGCGAGACAGUUGCUGACCAAAAGGCUGCAGUUUGGUCCCCUGCAGGCUGAGAAAAUUUUUGCGGGUAGUCAGCAGGUGGCAGUUGAGGAGGAAAUAAAGGAGAGGUGAGUGUGUUCGUUGUGCGGUGUGCACCCAGCGAUGUCUCUGUCAGUCACCACCGGCUUCUUUGUCUCACAUGCGGAUGGAUUAACAGAUGGAUGGAUGGAUGGAUGUUUGUCGCAUCUGUCUAGCCGCGUCUGGGAUGGGGACAGUAACUGUGGUGAUGGCGAAGAGAAGGUACGGUAACGAUGGCUUCUAAGAUCUUGCUUUUGGUUCAUGUCCCCAAGAUGCAGAUAAGUCAAGAGUUUAUGAUGAGCUUUCUAUUCUUAUAUUCAUUAUUAUGAUGUUAAUAAUAGUAAUGUAAUGAUGAGAAUGAUAAUAAUGAUGAUAAUAUAAAUUUUCAUGUUAUUCUUGGACCACGUUUAGUGCUAGGAAAGGCAUCCAGUCAGGCAAAGGCAGCACUGUCAAAGCCAAAGUUCAGCACCACCUUAACCCAGAACAAGGGAGUCACAGGCUUAUAAUAGGAUUAGUGUUAUUAUUAUUAUCAUUAUAUUUGUCAUUGUAUAUUAUUGUCAAUAUUGUUAUUUACGUAUUUGGAACUUGCCUUGAAGCAGGUCUUUGUUUGAUUAUUGUAACUAAUUAAAGUAAUAUAAAAAUACUUGGCCUUUACCAGCACCACCACUGCCACACAAUAGCAGUGUAUGUUUUUUUUUCCAUUAAUAUUAUUAAUUUGUUUUGUUUUGUUUUUGUUUUGUAACAAUUUUUAGGAGAAUCUUUGUUGUGGAAAUUCUGACAUCCAGAAAAUGUAGAUGCAGUGGAAUCAAAACAGUCUUCAAGAAUAGUAGACCGUGGAUUAUAUAUAUCCUAAGCUAAAUCCAGAAGAAAUGGGAUGUUAUGAAAUGGGGAAAUUAAAAGCUGCUUGGGGAAGAGAUCCCAUCCAAGUGAGGCAAUGUACUUCCAGAAUUUUACCAAGUUAAUCUGAGCUGAGCAAAUGCAUUACAGUAUCUAUUUGUUGUUGUUGUUGUUGUUGCUCAUAAUCAUUAUUGAUGUUUUCCAUACAUCGACUGGAUUCCAGAUAUUUCCUAUGGCUCCUUUUCCAUUGGCUGUUUCCUUGAAUGAAUCUUUUAUCAUAUCUUAUUGCUUUGUCUUUUAGAAUAUAUAAAGUGUAGAUCUCUAGUCUUUUGUCAUAACCUAUAUUCUUAUGUGUAGAGCCUUAAAAAUAUUUUUUGCUUAACUUAUAUCAUUGUUAUUAUUAUUAUUGGGGAAAAAGCAUGACAAGUUAUGGCAGACAGUUUGGGUUCAUUUAUGGUAUUUCAUCUCUCGACUAAAUAACUAGGUUAACUCUCUAUCUCUCAUUCUCUUUCUAUUUCUAUUUCUAUUUCUAUUUCUAUUUCUACUUCUCUCUCCCUCUCUGUCU
Penaeus chinensis is the source of this 1923-nucleotide RNA transcript. It is a transcript of the gene named PR domain zinc finger protein 4-like, with no coding region annotated. Lineage: Eukaryota; Metazoa; Arthropoda; Malacostraca; Decapoda; Penaeidae. The transcript has 4 exons. The record is from RefSeq and is a predicted model, not a curated record.